CCUAACACAUGCAAGUCGAACGGUAACAUUUCUAGCCUGCUAGAAGAUGACGAGUGGCGGACGGGUGAGUAAUGCUUGGGAACUUGCCUCUGCGAGGGGGAUAACAGUUGGAAACGACUGCUAAUACCGCAUAAUGUCUUCGGACCAAACGGGGCUUAGGCUCCGGCGCAAAGAGAGGCCCAAGUGAGAUUAGCUAGUUGGUAAGGUAACGGCCUACCAAGGCGACGAUCUCUAGCUGUUCUGAGAGGAAGAUCAGCCACACUGGGACUGAGACACGGCCCAGACUCCUACGGGAGGCAGCAGUGGGGAAUAUUGCACAAUGGGGGAAACCCUGAUGCAGCCAUGCCGCGUGUGUGAAGAAGGCCUUCGGGUUGUAAAGCACUUUCAGUUGUGAGGAAAAGUUAGUAGUUAAUACCUGCUAGCCGUGACGUUAACAACAGAAGAAGCACCGGCUAACUCCGUGCCAGCAGCCGCGGUAAUACGGAGGGUGCGAGCGUUAAUCGGAAUUAC
This 510-nucleotide ribosomal RNA is filed under the name uncultured bacterium. Its description in RNAcentral is "bacterial SSU rRNA". It matches the Rfam family "Bacterial small subunit ribosomal RNA", at positions 47 to 554 of the family's 1533-position model. The record is from RNAcentral.